Non-coding RNA from Vicia faba (fava bean), 234 nucleotides. Lineage: Eukaryota; Viridiplantae; Streptophyta; Magnoliopsida; Fabales; Fabaceae. The record is from the annotation of a GenBank genome assembly.
AUGGUUGGAGUGGCCAUAAGUGCAUCUCUGACAUCACCUAACGACUCAGUGGAAGAGCCGUUGCAACAUCCAUCACCCGAUAAUGACUCGAUGGAAGAGCUGCCGCAGUUGUCAUCUCCACCCACGCUGCCAACACCAUCCAUGCCGGUUCCAUGGCGCCUACCUCGUAUUGGUGGGCAAUAUCCUCCUGUUGGUUGGUACACCCGCAAUCAGUUGGAAAAAAUUGAAUGUUGA